Melospiza melodia melodia is the source of this 1236-nucleotide long non-coding RNA. RefSeq lists it as uncharacterized. The record is from RefSeq and is a predicted model, not a curated record. The transcript is spliced from 6 exons. Lineage: Eukaryota; Metazoa; Chordata; Aves; Passeriformes; Passerellidae.
UGCUUAAAAACAACUGUAAACAGCAGCAAGAGAGGAUUAAUUAGUUUAAUUCAGUCAAGUUGUCUCCUUGGAUACCAUUCAAGUGACUUCCACCAUUGUUCAUGUGAAGUAACCAGGAAUAUGAGCAUCAGAGUAGUAAAUACCUGUGGUCCAGGUUUUAUUUUAAAGCAGAGAAACAUCAUUUCAUAAAACUUCAUUUAAGUCCCAUGCUCCAAACCUUCAUGACUCUCAUUUUUCAGAGAAAGGGAGAAUAAUGGGAUUGGAGUCAGCCCAUCUGCAUAAACUAUUUACCCAGAACUCCUGAUGGGGUAAAACCACAGAGAAGUGCUCUCUGCUCUUUGUUAUUGGCACACAGAGAAAGUCAGCCCUCAGAAAGCUUCAGCUGCAUCAACUUUCAUCUCAGCACUUCCCUACUGAUGCUUUUGAGCCAUCAUAACAGGAAGAACCAGAAGGACUCCAAACAAAGUGAAGGUUCUUCCAGAAGCUGAAGAGCAUGAGAGGAAUUUUGGGUUAGCUCCAAGAGAGCCUCUUUUGUCACAGAACCAAGCAGAGCUGAAACAAUCAUCGCUGGCUGAACUGAAGGACGGGGUUGGGCAGUGUUCCCAAGAGGCUGAAGCCUCUCUGCAAGCCCUCUUGGAUGGUGCUGCACAAUAAAAACUAUGCACCAGGCAGAGAGGUGGUAGCUAACAGCAUGCAUGCCUCCUGCAGGCUCUUUUUGAAAGAACCAGGAAGAGUGUCUACAGUUUUCUCUCAUUUAAGGCAAAUGCAGGCUGAUGGCUGUGGCCUGAAGGGAAGAGCUGCCUUCCUGCCAGAAGAGGAGAACUGUUAAUAUCUGGCAACAGGAGAGAGGCAAAGGGAUGGCUCUGAGACACAGUUUGCUGCUGGUGUACAAGAUUAACUGCUGUGAACGUUCCAAACUGCAUAUCCACGUCCUGCUCCCUGUGAGAAGCAGAGAAAUGCCACACAUUUUCAGUUGUCAUCUGAGAGGGAUCCUACACGCUGGCUCUGGGAAGUAAACUGCCUUUGGUUAGAACAGCUUGGGUCUGGACUCAAAUGGAUGCUUUACAGAGCAGAGGUAUCCAAAGACAGUGAGCAUUUCAGAGUCACGUCUUCUCACAUCUGCUAUGCCUCAUGUGAUAACAAGUAUGGUUGUGAAGGAAGUAAUUUUGCCUUUCCUUUUUCUUUGCUGCUGCUGUUUUAAGUAUUCUUCCAGGAAAGAGAGGCCCAACAGAGAAG